GCGUCUUAUUCGAUAUGAAUUUAGUACUUUAUGCAUUUAUUUAUUUUAUUUAUUUAUUUGAAGUAUAUGUAAGUUUUACGAAACCAGAAAAUGCAAUGCAAUGCAGAAAUUUGCCAAUAAGGAUUGAGCAGUUUAGAAUUUAUUUUAUAUAUAUAUGUAUAGUUAAUUACAAAUAUAUUUUGCAAAACUUUUUUCCCCCAAUUUAUAAAGAUUGGAAUGUUAUUUGUAAGUUUUGUUAGAUACGGGUGAAAAAUUUAAACGGUUCUUAUUGUCAUUUACGCAAUAUUGCAUUGUGUACCAAUAUCUCGUGUGUUACGUCUUGUUCGAUCAUAUAGGCAUUCUAUAAUGGAUUCCCUUCAACGUUUUGGCCAAUUGUAUUUCACAAAUUUUUCUAUUUGAUGUAUUUUAUUACCAGCUUUUGACACUUAAGACUUGUAAAAUUUUAAAUAUUACUUUUAUUUUGUUAAAAUGAAAAUAAUUUGUUGUAGCAUGAACUUAAACAUAUUACCCAUUCAUCUUUUCUUGAAAUGAUUUUUUUUUUUUCUGUACUGUAUAAUUUUUCCACUUAGUCUUAAAAUUGUUGUGAAAGCAAUAAGUUUGUUAAUUAAAGAUUAUAUAUACACACACAAUAUUAAUCAGGAAUGUUUUAUUUAUGCAAGCAUAGAAUCAACUGGGUUCGAUAUAGAAUCGUACUGUUUUACUGAAUCCUAAAUUAUGUUACGAAAUUAUCCGAUUGUACAAAUGACUAGAAUAUGUUGUAACCAGUUGAAAAUGUUCUCUCUCUAUUCACAUAGUGAUGUACAAAGUAUAAUAGGUAAAUUUGUAGUCAGUGUUGAAAAAUCACAAUCGUUCUCUGACGGAUUGUCGGAAUAACAAAAAAUAAAAAGAUUGGUUGACGGAAAGUUUAAUUAUUGUAUGAAAUAUUUGGAGCCUCGUUUAUGUAUAGAUAAUGGAGGCAGAUUCCUUAGUCAAUGUACUGUACUUAAUCUUCUGUGAUGUAUGAAUACUAGUCAGAAAUAAAUGUGAUCG
This 1029-nucleotide long non-coding RNA is filed under the name Androctonus crassicauda. Lineage: Eukaryota; Metazoa; Arthropoda; Arachnida; Scorpiones; Buthidae. The record is from RNAcentral.